GUUUACCGUGAAAAAAUUAGAGUGUUCAAAGCAGGCAGAUCCAAUUUUCUGCCACCGAAUACAUUAGCAUGGGAUAAUGGAAUAGGACCCUGUCCUCCUAUUUUCAGUUGGUUUUGGCAGCGCGAGGACUAGGGUAAUGAUUAAUAGGGAUAGUUGGGGGCAUUAAUAUUUAAUUGUCAGAGGUGAAAUUCUUGGAUUUAUGAAAGAUUAACUUCUGCGAAAGCAUCUGCCAAGGAUGUUUUCAUUAAUCAAGAACGAAAGUUAGGGGAUCGAAGACGAUCAGAUACCGUCGUAGUCUUAACCAUAAACGAUGCCGACCAGCGAUUAGGAGACGUUGAAUACAAAACACCACCAUCGGAAACGGUCGUGCCUGGCUCGUCGUCUCACGACGNACGGGCGGGGCGUUAGCCCGAUGCCCGUG
RNAcentral lists this ribosomal RNA (421 nucleotides) under Acanthamoeba sp. AVL-12. RNAcentral's name for it is "SSU rRNA". The stretch from base 1 to 377 matches the Rfam family "Eukaryotic small subunit ribosomal RNA", at positions 750 to 1114 of the family's 1831-position model. Lineage: Eukaryota; Discosea; Longamoebia; Acanthamoebidae. The record is from RNAcentral.